GUCAGACUGCUGGGACCAGGUGACAAGAGUGCACACACCUGUCCUGUCAGACUGCUGGGACCAGGUGACAAGAGUGCAUGCUAGCUCACUUUCACAUUUCACACUACAAGACCAGCUGGUUCUCAGGCAAUGUCACUUUCCCGCCAAAACAUAUCACUUCCUGUGCAACACACACUGUGCUUCUUCUUCUUCUUCGUUGUUGUCGAGCAGGUCAUGUGACUUCUUCGUUAUUGUCGAGCAGGUCAUGUGACUUCUUCGUUAUUGUCGAGCAGGUCAUGUGACUUCUUCGUUAUUGUCCAGCAGGUCAUGUGACUUCUUCUUUAUUGUCGAGCAGGUCAUGUGACUUCUUCUUUAUUGUCGAGCAGGUCAUGUGACUUCUUCGUUAUUGUCGAGCAGGUCAUGUGACUUCUUCGUUAUUGUCCAGCAGGUCAUGUGACUUCUUCGUUAUUGUCGAGCAGGUCAUGUGACUUCUUCGUUAUUGUCGAGCAGGUCAUGUGACUUCUUCGUUAUUGUCGAGCAGGUCAUGUGACUUCUUCGUUAUUGUCGAGCAGGUCAUGUGACUUCUUCGUUAUUGUCGAGCAGGUCAUGUGACUUCUUCGUUAUUGUCGAGCAGGUUAUGUGACUUCUUCUUUAUUGUCGAGCAGGUCAUGUGACUUUCACGCCCAAAUUGUGUGCAGCAUUUGCCCGUGUUAAAUAUGACAAACAUGUGAAAGAUGAAGUUAGUCAAUCAGGAACACGGAGCGACGUGCUACAACAUGACUGCAGGCCACGCCCCCCCAGCAUCACCAUCAGUACAUGUGCAAUAUUGACCUACCGGAAGUGCUAAGAUGCUAACUAGCACAGGCUAACUAGCACAGGCUAACUAGCACAGGCUAAGUCUGCACCAACGCAGUAUGAAUAUUUGAACAACAUAUUUUCUGAUGUUUUGUCCUCAAGUUCAGUGUUUGAGUCCCAGGAAACUUUCUCUUUAUUUCAAGUCCUGAGUGGCUCGCACAUUUAGUUUUUAUUAAAGAAAUAACAUCAAUAUUAUUAUUAUCUUAUUAGUUAUUACACUAAAUUGCUGCGUCAGCUGGAGUCAAGAAUAUGUUGACUGACAUCUUCUCCUCAUUAUUGUCAUGACUAUUUACAUUGUAGAUUGUCACAUCAAAACUAGGAAUGAACAUGUGGAGUUAUCUACUUAACUAAAAUGUUUUAUAUUCUACUUUCUUCAAAAUAGCCACCCUCUUAUUACUGCUUUGUGCACUCUUGGCAUUCUCUUCAUGAGCUUCAAGCACACCCGGGAAGUAGGGCUGCAACUAACGAUUAAUUUGAUACUCGAUUAAUCUGUCGAUUAUUACUUCGAUUAAUAAUCGGAUAAAAGAGACAAACUACAUUUCUAUCCUUUCCGGUAUUUUAUUGGGAAAAAAACAGCAUUCUGGCACCGUACUUAUUUUGAUGAUUGUUUCUCAGCU
Entelurus aequoreus (snake pipefish) is the source of this 1451-nucleotide long non-coding RNA. RefSeq lists it as uncharacterized. The record is from RefSeq and is a predicted model, not a curated record. NCBI's taxonomy places the organism in Eukaryota, Metazoa, Chordata, Actinopteri, Syngnathiformes, Syngnathidae. The transcript has 2 exons.